This 708-nucleotide long non-coding RNA is filed under the name Ananas comosus (pineapple). RNAcentral's name for it is "long non-coding RNA (ACOM_LNC044804)". Lineage: Eukaryota; Viridiplantae; Streptophyta; Magnoliopsida; Poales; Bromeliaceae. The record is from RNAcentral.
CAAAGCACAAAGUAAAGUCAAAGAAUUGAAAGAAUUUGCAUAAUCUGCAUUUAUUUAAUGUUGAGCAUACUUCUUGCUUAUUGUUCAGGCAUAUUAGCAUCAUGUUAUAGAUUGGUUACUAUACAGCUUAUUCUUUCUACUAUGCCUGAGUUAGACCUAGUGGGAAAGUCGGUGAUGUUGAGGCCGAACCCACUGGGAACUUUGUUGUAGUUCUCACCCCACUAUUUCCACAGAGCCGGGACCGAGUGAGCCGGCGAGCGACCGCGGUAAAGGUAUCGCACCGUAGUCAGAGGCCACCGGAGUUGGGUUACAUUUUGUUAGUAGCUACCCUAUGUUCAUCUUUCGUAUUUGAUGACUAGUGAUGUAAAGAAAAGAAUGUAAAGCUUAUUUUGAGGUAAAUGUGAUGUAAGAAAGAAAUGAUGAAAUUAUGUAAGGAAAUGCAAAGAAUCCUAACUGUAAGAGAUAGAUGCAAUGUAUAUGAUCUAAAAUGAAUCAUAUUACUUGUGAAUAUUUAGUUUCCUUUUUCUUUCACUAAUGGCUAUUGCUUACCCUCGUGUAAGCCGUUUGUGUAUGUUUUCGCUAGUGCAAUUCUUGAUUGAAUUUUGUACAUGUGAUGAGCCUUGGGCGGACAGGGGAAACUCUGUCCGUUCGGCGUCUGUUUGACGUGCUCGGGUCGGGCCAAAUUGGCAUCGGUCUCGGGGCGUGACA